Molecule: long non-coding RNA, 1269 nt
Filed under: Calidris pygmaea (Spoon-billed sandpiper)
Lineage: Eukaryota; Metazoa; Chordata; Aves; Charadriiformes; Scolopacidae
Description: lncRNA (ENSCPGG00000010217.1)
Source: RNAcentral
AUGGCAAGGGGACUUUGGUGGGGACACUGUAGCGGAGGAAUGCAGCCCCCUGGAGCAGCAAGCAGCCCCCAGCCCUGCAGCUCUGCACCACUCCUGCUGUGUCCCCCACGUCCCUGUGCCUGGCAGUGGAGUGUCCUGUGUCCCUUGUCCUACAGGUGCUUGGCUGUGGGAUGCCCUGUGUCUCCCACACACACACCAUGGAUCCCCCACAGGGUCCCCCCUUGUGUCCCCCACCCCCAUACACGUCCUCUCACCUCGCCCCAUCCUCAGGGCAGUUCCCAUGUCCCCACAGUGCUCCCAAGCGUGUUGGAGGGCACCCAGGCACGGGACACCCAGUGCCUGACUCCCAAGAAGACAGUCAGCAUCCUCUGUGCCCCCACCAUAAAACCAGCACCAAGCACUCCUGCAACACCCACCCCACGCCCUGGAGCCUGGGAAGGGUUGGGGCAGGAGGUGGGGCUGGGAUGCCAGGACACUGGGGUCCCCAGUGUCCCAUUCCUCAGUUUCCCCCCACCAGUGAAGAGUUGCAGGAACACACACUGUGCAGUGGUGGUCCAGGCCUGGCUCUGUGCCUGCUGCACCACCUGCGCCCAUAACCCAGCACUGCCGCCCCCAGCCCAUAGCCCCCCAGCACCCCACAGCUACCCCUGGCCCACAGGACACCUCCAAGGGGACAUCAGCUACGUGGGGCAGAUUAAUUUGGUGUCCCCACCUGCUUCCCACAGGAAUGUGUCACACAUGCCCCCCAUCAGGGGCUGUGCUGCUCCCGUGGCCUGUCCCCAGUGUCCCCACAGGCACUGUCCUGCUCAGGGACAGUCCAGUGUCCUCCCUGUUCCCUGCACCACUCCUGGGCACCCCGCGGGACAUGUGCAUCAGUGCUGGGGUGCACAGAGCACAAGCCCCCAGUGGGGUGUGGGACUGGGGCUGAGCCAAGUGGGACAGGGCCACUCAGAGGCAUCGGCCACAUGGCUGCCAGCAGCAUGGCAGAUGCAGGGCUGGAGACUGGGUGCUGCCGGAACACUGUGUCCUGCCAGCACGUUCCUGCCUGAGUCACUGCUGGCUCCUGCCCGGGCAGGUCUGUGGCCACAGCCCCACAGCUGCCCCACGCUGGCGCCACGCCAGGCCCACAGCAGCCCCACUCCACACCAGCCCUGCAGCAGGGACAGCCCCGGACACAGACCCAAACCCUGCCUCCCGCCCCAAUCGGUGCAUAUGCAGAUGUAUAAGUGUCCACACCCCCACCCGCCCCCGUGUCCCCCCACCUUAUAA